Molecule: long non-coding RNA, 243 nt
Filed under: Capsella rubella
Lineage: Eukaryota; Viridiplantae; Streptophyta; Magnoliopsida; Brassicales; Brassicaceae
Description: long non-coding RNA (CRUB_LNC004029)
Source: RNAcentral
AAUACUUUAUGAACAGUUAAAAGCGGUUAUUUCAUUAUUCUUUUCACUGUUCAUUAAUUAAGUUUUAAUAUUGGAAAGUUGAAUUAUAUAAUUAAGUUAUUAACCAUGAUUUUUUUUUUGGUGAGGCGUUAUUAACCAUGAUUUGAUAAAUGAAAGGCUGGCUAUUCAUCUUCAACCUUUUGGCAGUUUUAACAUGUCAAAUGGUCGGUUCAAAUUUGGAUCAGCCUUAGCCAAUAUAAGUCG